GUUGAAUCGACGCUCCCCGAAGUUUCCAGAAGCUAUUGCGGCGCUGUAGGGAGAGAGAGCUAGGAUUAGAAACCCUAGCUGAUGGUGUUAGGUUCUGGGCCUCUGAGAGCUUGGGUCAAUUGGGUCUAGUUUAGGUCUAGGUCUGUAACGGGUAUUGGGUUGUAACCGGGUUUAGGUUUAUUUAAUUUUUGGGCCUACGGGUUAGUGGGCCAUGGUAUUUGGGUCCUGUAAAGGUUUAAAUGGACUGUUUAAAUAAACACUCUAUUUAUUUUAAAGCCCGGUCAAAUUUAGGCUGUUACAGCUGCCCCUCUUUGCUCAUUGCUAUGUAAUAGGAAUCGAGCAAAGACUCAUAGAAAAAACCAAAUUUGACCGGUCUUAUGGUAUUCAACCCUUUUUCAUGACUGCCAUGUUGAUAUCUUCGAUCUGCUCAUUGCUGAACAUAGAGAUGUCGAAUCUGCCUCUUCAAUUUGUAGAGAUGUCGAAUCAACUUGAAUCCGUUUGAGAAUGUUUGAGAGUUAUAUCUACCAGUCCUCGAUUUGUCCCUUGUAAGCACAAGGAUGCCAAACCAUCUUGAGUUUGUUUGAGAACAUUUGAGAGUCAUAUCUGCAAUGUCCUAGAUUUGUUCAUUGUAAGCACAAGGAUGCCAAACCAUCUUGAGUCUGUUUGAGAACAUUUGAGAGUCAUAUCUGCAAUGUCCUUGAUUUGUUCCUUGUAAACAAAAGAAUACCAAAUCAUCUUGGAUCUGCUUCAGUAUAAACAUCUGAAGGUUAGAUCUGCCAUAUUUGAGAACGUCUGAGAGCAAAAUCUGCUAUGUCUUCGAUUUGUUUCUUGUAAACACAAGAAUACCAAACCAUCUUGGAUCUGCUUCAGUAUAAACAUCUGAAGGUUAGAUCUGUUAUAUUUGAGAACGUCUGAGAGUCAAAUCUGCUAUGUCCUCGAUUUGUUCCUUGUAAACACAAGAAUACCAAAUCAUCUUGGAUCUGCUUCAGUAUAAACAUCUGAAGGUUAGAUCUGCUAUAUUUGAGAACGUCUGAGAGUCAAAUCUGCUAUGUCCUCAAUUUGUUUCUUGUAAACACAAGAAUACCAAAUCAUCUUGGAUCUGCUUCAGCAUAAAUGUCUGAAGUCUAGAUCUGCUGUCUUCAAUUUGUUUCCCAUAAGCACAGGGAUGCCAUGUUGAAAUCUUUGAUCUUCAUUGUCCCCUAGAGGACAUGACCUGUAAGAUGAGUAUGUGCCUAUGCCUAAGUAUGCUAUGAUUGAAAUGAGUCGAAUGUCCUUAACAUGUUAUGAUGCAAAGUGCUGUGAAUAUGACCCCUAUCUCAGGUGUCAUCAUUCAUUCCUUCAUUUGUCUUUCUCAAAAUUUUAUUCUUACUCAACUUGUAGGCCUUCCUCCAAUGCUAUGAUCUAUUGAGGAUGUCUGUAAGAAUUGAAUCAUCCAUUUCUUUUUGGACUGGAAGAAAGAAAUCCCCUGAGUUCCUUCAUCCUUUACUUACGUGAAUUUCUCGAACAAUUGACCUGUUUUAGUUUCUUGUAUUAUCCAGAAAUUCCAAAGUAAUGUGCAAAACUUCGUUUGUGAAAAUAUUUUAGUUCAUCUAUCAUUAUUUCAAUGCAACAUACUUUAAAAAUAUCGGGAGAUGAGUAAAUCUUUGAGAAUAAUUGGAUUCGAAUUGUUAACAGUACAAAGGAAAUAAGUCUGAUAGCAUAUCUUUAAGAAGAAAUAGAAUCUAAAGAUACCAAACAGGAUAAAAAUUAGAUACUCUAAAUAUCGCCGCUUGAGCGUCUAUACAUUAGUUCCCCGAAGCCUUUCUUGAGUUCGACAUGUGUUUAAAAGAUCCAAAGUACUUUGUUGAUGCCCCAAUGUACAUUGUGCCUCACUCUCUGUCGAGUCAAAUAUAGCAAGGUUAUUGUGUGCCCUUCAAAAUUUGAGCUGCCCUUUCGGGUUUUCAACUCAAAAUCCCUUUGAUCACAAGGUGCCCUUUGUGGGUUUUCACCUUGGCCUCUCCAUUUUAUUUUAUUUUAUUUUGUUUUUUUUUCAAAAUUCAAGGCGCCUUUUGCGGGUUUUCACCUUGGAUUCUUUUCUCCUUUAGACAAAGUACUUUUUGACUGAGUCUGAGUUUACUGGAUUGGGUAGGCUCUUUCCAUCCAUUUCUGUCAAAAUCAACACACCACCAGAAAAAGCCUUCUUCAAGACGUAUGGCCCCUCCCAAUUCGGCAAUCAUUUUCCUCUAAAGUCCUUCUGAAUGGGAAGGAUUUUCUUUAGCACAAGGUCCCCCUCAUGGAAUUCCCUUGGACGAAUCUUUUUAUCAUAAGCUCGCAUCAUACGCUUCUGGUACAUCUGACCAUGUCGGAUAGCCUUCAGCCUGUUUUCCUCAAUCAAGUUUAGCUGGUCAUAUCGAGACUGAACCCAUUCAGCUUCAUCUAACCUUAUCUCUAUUAAAAUUCGGAGAGAAGGGAGUUGCCCCAGUAGAAGUUCUAACAGAUGUUCGAUAGGCCAAGAGUGCAAACGGUAGCUUUUCAUGCCAAUCCCUAUAAGUCUCAAUCAUCUUUCCCACUAUUUUCUUAAUGUUCUUAUUGGCAGCCUCCACUGCCCCAUUCAUCUUUGGACGAUAGGGUGAAGAGUUGUGAUGCUUGAUUUUGAACUGGUCGCAAAUCUCUGCUAUCGUUUUGUUGUUCAAAUUCAAUGCAUUGUCGGAUAUGAUCCUCUCAGGCAUUCCAUACUGACAAAUGAUUUCCUUCUUCAAAAAUCGACUUACAGCUGACUUAGUAACAUUCGCGUAAGAAGCAGCCUCUACCCAUUUUGUAAAGUAGUCAAUCACUACGAAAAUAAACCGAUGUCCAUUCGAAGCUUUCGACGAUAUUGGUCCGAUGACAUCCAUGCCCCACAUGGAAAAUGGCCAUGGAGACAUCAUGACAUGUAAAGGUGAGGGUGGAACAUGAACUUUGUCCCCACAAAUCUGACAGUUAUGGCAUUUUUUGGCAUAGUUGAUACAGUUUCCUUCCAUAGUGGCCCAGUAAUAGCCAAACCUCAUGAUUUGUCUUGCCAUCGUGAACCUAUUUGCAUGCGUACCACAUACACCUUCAUGAACCUCUUCUAAAAUUAGCUUGGCUUCCAUAGUAUCGACACAUCUCAAAAGUACUUGGUCUUUCCUUCUCUUGUACCGAACAUCCCCGUCCAAAACAUAGUCACAAGCUAACCUUCUCAGGGUUCGUUUGUCAUUUUCGGAUGCCUGUGCUGGAUAUUUACGAUCUCUUACAUAUCGCAAUGUAUCCUGAUACCAAGGAUUGUCAUGCUUUUCUUCCUCUUCAAGGUUACAACAGCUAGCUGGAAAUUCAUAGACACUCAUUUGAAUUGGUCUCAUCUCUUCCUUUUUGUUUGCCUUAAUCAUUGAAGCCAAGGUUGCUAAAGCAUCUGCCAUCUGAUUCUCAUCUCGUGGGAGAUAGUUGAAGGUGAUGUCAUCGAACUCUCUUAGUAACCCCAAAACUACCAUUCGAUAAUUGAUCAAUUUAUGGUCUCUUGUCUCUCAUUCACCUCUUACUUGAUAGAUUACCAACGCAGAAUCUCCAUAUAUUUCUAGGGUCUUUAUGCCUCUUUCUAUGGCUGCUUGGAGCCCUAUGAUGCAUGCUUCGUAUUCAGCCAUAUUAUUUGUACAGUCAAAAUCCAACUUGCAUGUGAAUGGGUAAUGGUCGCCAUUCGGGGAUACCAAGACUGCCCCAAUUCCAUUUCCUACUGCAUUAGAAGCCCCUUCAAAAUUUAGCUUCCAUGGAGAAUCUUCAGUUGCUACUAUACACAUUAACUCCUCAUUUGGAAAAUCAAAAUUCAAUGGCUCGUAAUCCUCCAAAGCUCUACUGGCCAAGAAGUCUGCCACCGCACUUCCUUUGAUAGCCUUCUGACUUACAUAGACUAUAUCGAACUCUGAAAGCAAAAUUUGCCAUCUCGCCAUUCUUCCAUUUAGAGCCGUUGAUUCCAUCAUGUAUUUUAAUGGAUCUAGUUUUGAGAUGAGCCAAGUAGUAUGGUAUAGCAUGUACUGUCUUAAUCUCCGUGUGGUCCAAAUCAACGCACAGCAUAAUUUUUUGAUUGGCGAAUAUCUCAUUUCACAGUCAGUGAAUUUCUUACUGAGAUAAUAAAUUACCUUUUCCCUUUUCCUUGACUCGUCAUGCUGACCAAGCACACAUCCCAUAGAAUUGCUGAACACUGACAAGUAUAGUAUUAACGGUUUAUCUGGACUAGGCGGAGAUAACACUGGAGCAUUCAACAAAUAUUCCUUGACUUUCUCAAAAGCAUUCUGGCAUUCUUCAUCCCAAGUACCUUGAUUGUGCUUUCUGAGAAGACGAAAGAUAGGAUCACAUUUCUCAGUCAAUUGUGAAACGAAAGAUAGGAUCACAUUUCUCAGGCAACUCCCGUAUGGCUCUGACCUUGUCUGAGUCAACUUCAAUUCCCUUUUCACUGACUACGAAGCCUAAUAACUUCCCCGAUCUGGCUCCAAAGGUGCACUUUGCUGGAUUGAGCUUCAACUGAAAUUUUCUCAACCUUAAGUACAAUCUUCUCAAGACCUCAAUGUGUUCUUUUUCUGUUCGCGACUUGGCAAUCAUAUCAUCAACGUAUACCUCAAUAUCCUUAUGCAUCAUGUCGUGAAACAAGUUUACCAUGGCUUGUUGGUAUGUUGCCCCUGCGUUCUUCAACCCAAACGACAUUACUUUAUAACAAAAGGUGCCUCACAAUGUUAUGAAAGUAGUUUUAUCCAUAUCCUCUGGAUGCAUCUUUAUCUGAUUGUAUCCUGAGAAGCCGUCCAUGAAGGAGAACAACGAGUAUCCCGCUGUGUUGUCUACUAAAGUGUCGAUGUGUGGUAGAGGAAAAUUAUCCUUUGGGCUUGCUUUGUUUAGAUCUCUGUAAUCAACGCACAUUCGUACCUUCCCGUCUUUCUUAGGGACAGGUACAAUAUUAGCUACCCAUUCAGAGUACUUCACUUUCUGCAAAAAUCCUGCAUCAAACUGCUUCUUGACUUCAUCUUUUAUUUUCAGGACAAUGUCUGGCCUCAUCCUUCGCAACUUCUGUUGGACCGGUUUACAUUCUUAUCUUAUCGAAAGACGAUGUACUACAAUGUCAGUACUCAAUCCGGGCAUAUCCUGAUAAGACCAUGCAAAGAUAUCCUUGAAUUCCUGAAGCAACUCAAUUAAGCUACGCCUUGUGUCAUUAGCGAUCAGUGUUCCAAUUUUCACCUCCUUCCCUUCCUCUAGGGCUAUAUUCUCUAUUGCCUCUUUUUCAUGUGGCAUGAUUUGUUUCUCCUCCUGUUUUACCAUUCUUAAUAGAUCUAGAGAUACGUCACAAUCUUCAAAAUCCUGAGGCUCCUCUAAACACAUGUCUUGCUCACAAGAGAAAUCAGGAGCAGCAGUAUUAGCGCUCAUAUCAUUGAUAUCUAGAGACCUGUGAGGGGUAUGAAAGAAUAUACAAAGAAUGAAUGAAUUUAAGAAUGAUCGUUUAUGCGCUAUAAAUAAAAGAAUAAGAGUUGUUAGAAUUUAAAGGAAUAUUGGUUGAUAAAAAUGAAGCAAUACUCUUUUAAAUUGAUAAAAAUUAUGUUUUAUUUGAAUAAUAACAGAUGAACAUAAGCCUAUUUUCACAAACAUAAUCUUACUACUCCUAGGCCCUAGAGUAAUAAACAUGUUUCGAGAAUUACUCUGAAAAAUUUCUAAAGACUACAGGAAGAUCCUCCGCAGUCCAAUUAUUUAGAGAGCUCCCCGGUUCGUAAGGGCGAAUACCCUCAAAGUUUUCCUGUCCAAACCAAUCACUAUGUACAACAUUGAUUUGAUGACUCUCUUCUACCAGCAACCCUCCUGACUUAAAGGUUGUGGAUAUAGGUGGGAAUGUCAUCAGUUCCCACGCUACUUCUCAUCCGUUCAAACGCGACUUCCUUCUUGCUUGACGCUUUUCCAUCUCCUGUCUCUUUUGUUUAUGGUCUGGCUUAAAACCCAAACCAAAGCGAUCCUUCUUCUCUAUCAAUUUUGGGACUUGAAUCCCUCUUUGCAACUGUUUUCCUAGUCCUUUUUCCUGGCAAUGCUCCUUUCCCCAUCAUUAUUUGCAGGGCCAUCCUUGUUGCUCUAGACAUUUUGGGAACCGGCACCUCGCUUCCCUCCGAAAUGAAGGUAGCAUUAACAAUUUCGAAGGAACAAAAAGAACACUCGAUAGCCUCCUCAUUUGUCUCCACAUAAGGAGGUUUACUAGUGACGGCUACUAUGAUGUCCUCCUCUGGAUUGAUGGUUAUCAAGCGUCCAUCUGUCACCAACUUCAAUUUUUGGUGCAGUGAAGAAGGCACCACUCCUGCCGAGUGUAUCCAUGGCCUCCCCAACAAACAAUUAUAGGAGGGCUUGAUAUCCAUUACCAGGAAGUCAACUUCAUACGUAUUUGGUCCAAUCUCCAGAGGGAUGUCAAUUCGUCCUAUUACUUUCCUUUCAGUUCCGUCAAAGGCUCUUACCACAUUAUGACAUGUCUUCAUGUGUGAACUGUCGAUGGGUAAUCUGUUCAAUGUAGAUAAUGGAAGGACGUUCAAAGCGGACCCAUUAUCAACGAGUACACUUGGAAGCGUGUAUCCUUUGCAACGAGUGGUGAUGUACAAGCUUUAGUUGACCCUAUGCCUCCAGGUGGAAUUUCAUCAUCAUUGAAGUAGAUGAAAUUAUCAGCACAGAUGUUAUUUAUCAACCGGUCCAACUUAUUGGCAGAUAUAUCAUGAGUGACAUAUGUCUCGUUGAGUACCUUCAACAAUGCUUCUUGAUGCACUUCAGAGCUUAGCAGUAAGGUUAAAAUCGAUAUGCGUGCUGGUUGUUUACGCAACUGCUCGACCACACUAUACUCACUAUGCUUAAGGAACUUUAGAAAUUCCUUAGCUUCCUCCUCCCUCACUGGCUCGUUAACAGGUACUUCACUCUUUUUCUCAAUUUUAACAUUCUUGGGUUUUGUGGGCUCCACUCUGACUUCCCCCAUAUCAUAACGCUUCCUGCUCCGCUUAUGGGAACCUUCAUCUCGUACAUCUUUAGAUGCGCUGGCUAUGUUUCCUUCUCUCGGUACCGUCACGCUACAGUCAUAACUCCAUGGUACUUUCUUGCUAUCCUUGUAAGGGAAAAGAGUAGGUGUAUGGAUAACAACCUUGGGCACUGCUGGUGUCCCCAUUUCAUUAUUCCCUGGCAGGGAGAUAAUGGUCCUUGGUCUACUGGUUCUUUGCUGUUCAUUUUCCAGCACACAUACUUGCUUUUCACUAGAGCUACCUUCAUAAACCUGUAGCUCUUUGUUGUCUAUGAAGCCUUGCACCAAGGCCUUGAAUUCCUCGCAAUCUUCACGGAACUCACCGUAGUCCCACGUUCUUUCUUUCAUUUUUUUAGAGGUCAACAUACCUCUCUUCAUCAUCUUCUCCCAGAUUACCCUCAUAGGCAUCCUUAUCUCAUCAACAUUUUUCUUUUCCCUUUUUUUACCGACUUCACCAAUGGCAUUUACUCUCUGAUUGUUAUGGUUCGGCAAAGGAUUCUCAAUAUUUGAGGUACUCUCAAAUUUUAAAACCCCAUUCUUGAUCAACCUCUCUACGGCUUUCUUGAAUCCAGUACAAUUCUCGAUUGAGUGCCCCGAUAUUCCAGCAUGAUACUCACAUCUGGCAUUUGCAUCAUACCAUUUAGGAUACGGAGGUUGUAAUGGUUUUAAAUGGAAAGGGGCUAUAGCAUGUGUAUCAUAUAGAUUUUGAUAGAGCUCCCUAUACGUCACAGGUAUAGGCGUAAAUUGUAUCCUCUCAUGCCUAAUGUUGGAUUCCUACUUUUGUUGACCAACUGUGGCUACUUUGGGCUGGCUAACUGUGACUGCUUUUGAAUUAAAAUCACUUGUAUUGUUUACCUCAUUGUCUUUUCUUCUUGGGGCUGAUCUUUUGGCUACUUCCCCCUCAAUUCUUCCUCCUCUUAUGGCAUUCUCUAUCAUCUUUCCUGCCAUAACUAUGUCCGCAAAACUUUUAGUAAUGCUUCCAAUCAUAUGAGUAAUAAAUGGGGCUUUCAGAGUAUUAAUAAAUAGCAUAGUGCCCUCCUUCUCUAACAGUGGUGGUUGAACCUGCAUCACUACCUCUCUCCACCUCUGUGCAUAUUGCCUAAAAUUCUCAUUAGGCUUCUUCUCCAUGUUUUGUAGGGUAAUCCUGUCAGGGGUCAUGUCUGUUACAUGAUUGUACUGUUGCAUGAAGGCUUGUGCAAGAUCCCUCCAUGAACUUAUUCUAGCCCGGCUCAACUGAUUGUACCAUCUAGCUGCCGCUCCUAUCAAACUAUCUUGAAAACAAUGGAUCAACAGCUGAUCAUUGUUUACAUACCCCGUCAUCCUUCUGCAAAACAUUGUGAUAUGGGCCUCUGGGCAAGUAGUGCCAUUGUACUUUUCAAAUUCUGGCAUUUUGAAUUUGUGAGGUAACACUAGGUUUGGACCAGACUUAAGUCUUUGGCAUCAAUCCCAUGAUUAUUGCCAGUGCCUUCCAAAGCCUUGAACUUUUCUUCUAACUAUCUGUAGCAUUCAUCCAAUUGCCUUGCAGCUUCGGCCUUCAAAUCCUCUUUUUCCACCAUAUCUAGAUCGGGAACAAGAGGAUUAGUAAGAUUGUCACCCAUAUUAAGCCCUGAACCAACCAGUAAAUUCACAUGGACACCAGCAUCAAUUGGCCCAUGCUAAGGCCUCACAGUAGUCGAUGGCCUUCUAAGAGGUGCCUCAGUUUGCAAUGAUACAUGCGGCGGUGUAAAACCUGGAGGAGGACCCUCAUUUUCCUCUUCAGUGAUGGCCAUAGGAGCAUUUCCUUUAUCAGUGGCCCUCAGUAACUGAGCCAUUUCGGCCAUUAUAUUCCUCUGAGCUUCCAUUAUUUGCUCCCUCAUCUCAUUCUGCAUUUUAGCCAACUGGUCUUGCAUAUCCUUUUGCAACUGCUCAAACCUUUGAUCCAUGUUCUUAGUUUUAGUGCGAGUGCCGUAAGGAUGUGUGAUUUCUAGUUUUUCUUUUCUACCUUUAUAAAGAAACUUUAACUAAUUAGGGUCUUUCUAUAACCUUGAAUGCAUAUGAUAAGAUGUAAUGCAAAUGUAUGAAUGCAACAAAGGCAUCAAUCUCGAUUCAAUCUCAUUUAGAAAACUUUAUUUAGAAAAAGAAUAUCUUUACAUAUAAAUGGAUUACAAGUACGCUUUCGCCCUAAUGCCCAAAGUUUUAACUCUAUCUAAUAAAAGGGCUAACUCUCUUCCUAUGUCUGAUGACGACCCACACAUCAUACUCAAUACAUCGGCUCGUACUGCCAAGUCUUGCACAUAUUCAGCGACCUCUCGAAUCUGAGCUAUGGCUUCUCCCAUGACAUGAUCCCUUUCUCUAAUCUGCCCACUAGACUAAUGAAGCUCUCCCUUUAGAUAAUCUCCUUGCGUUUCGAGUUGCUCGAUCUGAAGUUUACCUUCCUGCAAUGCUGCUUCCAAAUCUUCAACUUUACUCUUUAGCUCUUUUAACUCGACCGUAGAAUCAUGGUUGCGAUGCCAACGAAGGGAUCUUCCAAGCUCAGUUAUUUUAAACUUCAACCCUUUAUUCUCUUCUUCUAAUGCCAAAUUCCGCGGUUGCAUCUCCUAAAACUUCUUCUCCCAAUACUCAGCUCUAGCCUUUCCUUCUUAGAUCUCUUUCUGCAACUGAUCUGAAGACCUUCCUAUUUUCGCUCUUCUCAAAGAUACCUGUGCCUUUUUGUAGUGUUCCUUCAAAUCAUCUCUAUCCUCUUCAAUUUUCCUCUUUUCCUUUCUUUCUUUCUCGACCUCCAUCUUCUGGACAUCGAUAUCUAAACUUAAGUACAUCUUUUCUUCUUCGAGCUUUGCUAUCCUUUUCUCAAGCUCCAAAUUUUUCCUCUCAAAUUCUUGCUUCAUAAUUUCUAACUCCGAGGGCAUCACUUGCAGAUAUUCCUCCAUCGGUCGAGUUCCUUCCAUACUUGGCUCAGGAAUAUUAUCAUUGAUCCUUCUACCUCUCCAUUCAACAUAUUCUGGAGUCGUAGCAGGGCCAAUAGCUACUCCUUUCAACCGACACGUCUUGUUCCAACUGCUAGAGAUCUCACCGACCCUUUUUUUUGUAAUCGGCUCCUCUAUAUGCGAACUCACUUUGAGUUAGCCCAUGAGUUGCUGGCACGAACUGCCUCAAACCGAAUUGCCUUAACACGAGCAAGGGGGCAUAACCAAUGGCACCCCAAAUUCCCAAUAAAGGGACCCAAUCGAAACUGCCGCAACGGUAAAGAAUCUCACCAGGAAUCAUCCACGGAGCUCUCUACUCAACAUCUUUCGACUGAAGAUUUUGAAGUAGUGCAAUCCAAUUCUCCUCUAGAACAUCAACUCUCCUAAUUGAAGCUACUAUGUCCUUCAGCGGUGAGUAAUCCUCGAAGAAAACCCGACAAACGACCUUAUCUAUCAACCGAAAAUGACUAUAGAACCAAGCUAGAAGCAAUUGUGCACAGCCAACAAACCUGCCUGCACCAGCUUUCCAACAUGUGCCUAAGGACCUGAAUGUCUCUGCCAAAAUUGCAGGGACAGAGGUGACCCUCUUACUGAGUUUAUGGAAAAGAUCCGUGGUUGCCUCAUCCACAUAUCCCAAAACUCUAGGGAACACCAUCAAUCCGUACAAACUUAAGGUAAAAACAUCUACCCUCUUUGCUUCAUCAGGGUGUGUCAAGAUCAGACCCUUCAAAGCAUCCCAUGAAAUGCACUUGCACUCGCCCUUCUCUUUACUUCUGGCAGUAAUCCAUUGCUCACUCAUCCCUGUAAUAGUCAUCAAUUUCUUCCAAAAGGUAGGGACAUUAACAGCUCGAGAAUAGAUUCUAUCAACCUGGAACCUAAGACAACGUAACAAGGCAGUGUAUUCCUCUACGGUGGGCACCAAGUCUACCUCCCCAAAAGUAAAGCAACUGUACGCUGGAUUCCAAAACUGAGCGAGGGCUCGGAACAAGUGCUCAUCUAUUUGAACAUUGAGCAAGUAAGGUAAAUCUCUGUAAUUACCAUAGAAUAACUGUUUAGUCUCGUUGCCCUAUUGAUCCCAAAUCUCCUUAAGCUCUUGGAAAUUAUUCUGCGUGACACUCAUGCGAGUAUAUCCUGAUAGCUCCGACAUAUAUCCCGCAGCUAUACUAUCUCCCUUUUCUAAUUGAGUUUGCUCAGACCAUCUAUGGACGUUGGCGUUGCCCUCCACUCUAUCAAGAAGUCCGUUCUCCAUAAUAAAACUCUCUAACUUAGAAACUGACCGUGAAUCGAUACCUUUGUAAAUGCAAAAUGUCAUGCAAACAAAAGAAAAGAAAUAGUCAGUAUCCCAUGAUAUCAAUAAAUCUCAACAAUAGUUUAUAAGGGUAAUAUCUAAAGUUUAACUCUAACUAAGUUGGGCUCUUACGGUUUUUUCUAUAUGAGGUUGGUUCUAAAGUUUGAGGUACCUGAACCAGCAGAUUCCUCGAUCCUCACCCAUUAUAGGCUCAUUUGAAUCGAGUUCAGUUCAGGGGGAUACAUUUCCCUAUGGCUACACAGAGAUGAAAAUCUCACGAAACCAUAGGUACGGAUGUAUCCCAAAAGUGAUCCACUAUCCUGCACGGAGGCAAAAACCUCACGAAGGCAUAGCUUCUCACUCCCACUUAAGGGUGUGACCACAACGGUCAUGCAAAUGCAAUGCGUAUUAGAAUAUAGCAACACAUGCAAUAAUGCAAACGCAUGUAAUGCAAAGAGGAUUAAAUCUUAAAUUUUUUUAAAUUUCCAACAUUAAGACAAGAGAUAAUCAAUUACACGGCUUGACUCUCUUAAACGUCCCCAGUGGAGUCGCCAAGCUGUCGAAACCUUUUUUAAAUCGAGUUUUGGAAAAUGGGAAUUGACUUUAAAAAUGAAAACAGGAGUCGCCACCAAUCUUUUUAGGUGUGAUUGGAUCACCUUUAAAACAUUUGUUUUAAAAUUGUUGGUUUUGGUCUACGAAAUCAAAAGAAUGGGUUUAGGAGCCGGUUACGUACGAGGAAGGGUUAGCACCCUCGUAACGCGCAAAAAUUGGUACCUAAUUGAUUAUCAAAAUGUCUCUAAUGUCGGAAAUUAAAAAUUUUAAGAUGUAAUCCUCUUUAAAGUAUUUGAAAACCUGGGUUUACUUGUAUCAAAGUAUUGUCUAUAAGUUAGCCUUUUAGAAAUCCCUAUCUCAAAACAGCAAAAUAAAAUACUACAUCCAGUAAGUUAGGACAUAUCACUUUGCAAUUCCAAGACAGUCACUUAUAUUUUUAAAUCCUUUAAAAACCUUAGAAGGGUACUUGACUAUCCGAACUUAACGAGAAAAGUUGCAACCCAAUAAGUUAGGGCACUACUUUUUCGAAAUUUCCAAACUUCAAGCAUUGCCUUUAUAUUUUUUUUGAAAAUUUUGGAGCCUUGUCUUUUUAAAGAUUAUGUGUGGAGAAUUGUACUACAUUAUAAAUCAUAAUAAUAUAUAUGUAUAACAUGUAUUUAAAAUGAAUAAACAAAAUAUAUAAACAUACGAAAUAAUAUUUAAAUGAUGCAUGAUAUAUAAAAAAAACAUAAUCAAAUAAUGUGUGGUAUACAAAUAGAAGAAAUAUAGUGCCAAUUUGCAUAUAAUUAUAAUAAAAAUAAACUUAACACAUACAUGAUACAUACAAUAUAAAACAUAUAGAAGAACUAAUAUAAAAAAAAGUAAUUGAUUGCUAACAAAAUAUACAUACAAUUAAAAACAAGACAUUUCAUAACCAUUUUAAAAUAGUAUUUAAUAGAUAAUAUAAUAACAAGAAUAAAAGAAUAGUAAUUAUAUGAUAAUAUAUUGGUUUAGGAGUAUGUAAGAGAUUUCAUAAUAUAACAAUAUUAGUUUAAAAUGAAAUAAUAUAUAGUAAAUAAAUAAUUAAUUAAUAAAAAUAUGUAUAUAGUGUGGGUUAAAAAAUAUGAUUUAAUAAUAAUAAUUUACAUUUUUAAAAUAAUAUAUAUAAUGUAAUCAUAAAUAAUAUAAUUGGCGAUACAUGAUAUACAUAACAUAUAUAUAAAAAAACAAUAAAUAAAAAAAUAUUAUAUAAUAAAAUGUAAUAUAAAUAUAUAUGAAAUAUAAUAGAUAUAAUAUAAAAUAACAUGUAAAACAAUAUAUAUAUAAAUAAUUAAUAAAUAUAUAAUAUAUGUGAAAAUAUAAUAUUAAUUUGAGGAAAAUAAUAUAUAAUAGUAAUAUAUAUAAAAAUAACACUUUUAAUAAUUUUAAUGUAUAAAAGUAAAAUUAAAAUAAAUCAAAUAUUAAUAUAAAAAUAUAUAGAAAUAAAAAAAUUAGGACUAAAUUUAAAGUUUUGUAAAAUUACGGGGCAAAUUUAAAAAGCUAAAACUGAAUUAAGGCCCGAUUUGAAACACCCAAAACGUCACCGUUUCCCCUAAUACGAUUCUAAAUCAUUGGGAGGGUCGAAUUAAAAUAGAAUUAAAAUAUUAAUACCAAAUUAAAAAAUAAAUAAAAUGAAAUUAAAAGUAUAAAUAUUGCGAGAGGACCAAUUGGGUAAUUAACCCAAUUCUCAAAAAUACGCGGAUCCUCCCCGGGUAAUCAGGUCAACGCGCGGAUCCUAUAGUUGUAAAACGACACCGUUUUAAAUAGACUAUAUAAGUCAAACUUCGCCCCUAAAAAUCAUUUUAACAUCCGUUUUUAAGAAAAAAAAAAGAAAAAUCUCUGGAAAAGGAUUCGGGGGCCGAUCCCGGAGCUGCUGAGCCUCCGUCCAGGGGUCUCCUCACGCGCUCACGUGCCGUCCUGUACGGUGGUCUGAGGGUUAAAGUCCUUGUCCUUCCACAGGAAAUCUCUUCCCCUUUUUAAAAGUUACUAUUUUUUUUGCUAAAAUGAUGUACAUACAUUCAUAUGUUCUAAAAUAAUAAAAAAAACACAGUUAAAUCACCUUUUCUUUGAAACUGCUUGUAUUCUUUUUUUAUUUCUGUAUCCGUAAUUGUUACAAGGGUUACAAAGGCUUUUUAUAGCCUACUGAUUUGUUACAUAAGGAAAGAAAUCUCUGAUUUCUUGUCUAUUGUAUCUUUGGCCAUUAUCUGCUAAGUUUCUUUUUCGUUUUGCAGGUACCCCGACAAUCUCUGCGUUAACAGUGGUACCAAAACCAGAAGGGAGACCUGAGAUCACGGUGCUGGACCGUCGCAAGGGGGACGAACGCAUUGAUGGCGCGUCAAUGCAUUGAUGGCCACGAUCUGGAGAGUUGAAUCGACGCUCCCCGAAGUUUCCAGAAGCUGUUGCGGCGCUGUAGGGAGAGAGAGCUAGGAUUAGAAACCCUAGCUGAUGGUGUUAGGUUCUGGGCCUCUAAGAGCUUGGGUCAAUUGGGUCUAGUUUAGGUCUAGGUCUGUAACGGGUAUUGGGUUGUAACCGGGUUUAGGUUUAUUUAAUUUUUGGGCUUACGGGUUAGUGGGCCAUGGUAUUUGGGUCCUGUAAAGGUUUAAAUGGACUAUUUAAAUAAACACUCUAUUUAUUUUAAAGCUCGGUCAAAUUUAGGCUGUUACAGCUGCCCCUCUUUUCUCAUUGCUAUGUAAUAGGAAUCGAUCAAAGACUCAUAGAAAAAACCAAAUUUGACCGGCCUUAUGGUAUUCAACCCUUUUUCAUGACUACCAUGUUGAUAUCUUCGAUCUGCUAAUUGUCGAACAUAGAGAUAUCGAAUCUGGCUCUUCAAUUUGUAGGGAUGCCGAAUCAACUUGAAUCCGUUUGAGAAUGUUUGAGAGUUAUAUCUACCAGUCCUCGAUUUGUCCCUUGUAAGCACAAGGAUGCCAAACCAUCUUGAGUUUUUUUGAGAACAUUUGAGAGUCAUAUCUGCAAUGUCCUAGAUUUGUUCCUUGUAAGCACAAGGAUGCCAAACCAUCUUGAGUCUGUUUGAGAAAAUUUGAGAGUCAUAUUUGCAAUGUCCUCGAUUUGUUCCAUGUAAACACAAGAAUACCAAAUCAUCUUGGAUCUACUUCAGUAUAAACAUCUAAAGGUUAAAUCUGCCAUAUUAGAGAACAUCUGAGAGCCAAAUCUGCUAUGUCUUUGAUUUGUUUCUUGUAAAUACAAGAAUACCAAAUCAUCUUGGAUCUGCUUGAGUAUAAACAUCUCAAGGUUAGAUCUGUUAUAUUUGAGAACAUCUAAGAGUCAAAUCUGCUAUGUCCUCGAUUUGUUCCUUGUAAACACAAGAAUACCAAAUUAUCUUGGAUCUGCUUCAGUAGAAACAUCUGAAGGUUAGAUCUGCUAUAUUUGAGGACGUCUGAAAGUCAAAUCUGCUAUGUCCUCAAUUUGUUUCUUGUAAACACAAGAAUACCAAAUCAUCUUAGAUCUGCUUCAGCAUAAAUGUCUGAAGUCUAGAUCUGCUGUCUUCAAAUUGUUUCCCAUAAGCACAGGGAUGCCAUGUUGAAAUCUUUGAUCUUCAUUGUCCCCUGGAGGACAUGACCUGUAAGAUGAGUAUGUGCCUAUGCCUAAGUAUGCUAUGAUUGAAAUGAGUCGAAUGUCCUUAACAUGUUAUGAUGCAAAGUGCUGUGAAUAUGACCCUUAUCUCAGGUGUCAUCAUUCAUUCCUUCAUUUGUCUUUCUCAAAAUUUUAUUCUUACUCAGCUUGUAGGCCUUCCUCCAAUGCUAUGAUCUACUAAGGAUGUCUGUAAGAAUUGAAUCAUCCAUUUCUUUUUGGACUGGAAGAAAGAAAUCCCUCGAGUUCCUUCAUCAUUUACUUACGUGAAUUUCUCGAACAAUUGACCUAUUUUAGUUUCUUGUAUUAUCUAGAAAUUCCAAAGUAAUGUGCAAAACUUCGUUUGUGAAAAUAUUUUAGUUCAUCUAUCAUUAUUUCAAUGCAACAUACUUUAAAAAUAUCAGGAGAUGAGUAAAUCUUUAAGAAUAAUUGGAUUCGAAUUGUUAACAGUACAAAGGAAAUAAGUCUGAUAGCAUAUCUUUAAGAAGAAAUAGAAUCUAAGGAUAGCAAACAGGAUAAAAAUCAGAUGCUCUAAAUAUCGCCGCUUGAGCGUCUAUACAUUAGUUCCCCGAAGCCUUUCUUGAGUUCGACAUGUGUUUAAAAGAUCCAAAGUACUUUGUUUAUGCCCUAAUGUACAUUGUGCCUCACUCUCUGUCAAGUCAAAUAUAGCAAGGUUGCUGUGUUCCCUUCAAAAUUUGAGCUGCCCUUUCGGGUUUUCAACUCAAAAUCCCUUUGAUCACAAGGUGCCCUUUGUGGGUUUUCACCUUGGCCUCUCCAUUUUAUUUUAUUUUAUUUUAUUGUUUUUUUUUUCAAAAUUCAAGGCGCCGUUUGCGAGUUUUCACCUUGGAUUCUUUUCUCUUUUAGAAAAAGUACUUUUUGACUGAGUCUGAGUUCACUGGAUUGGGUAGGCUCUUUCUAUCCAUUUUUGUCAAAAUCAACGCACCACCAGAAAAAGCCUUCUUCACGACGUAUGGCCCCUCCCAAUUUGGCAACCAUUUUCCUCUAAAGUCCUUCUGAAUGGGAAGGAUUUUCUUUAGCACAAGGUCCCCCUCAUGGAAUUCCCUUGGACGAAUCUUUUUAUCAUAAGCUCGCAUCAUACGCUUCUGGUACAUCUGACCAUGUCGGAUAGCCUUCAGCCUGUUUUCCUCAAUCAAGUUUAGCUGGUCAUAUCGAGACUGAACCCAUUCAGCUUCAUCUAACCUUAUCUCUAUUAAAAUUCGGAGAGAAGGUAUUUCCACUUCAAUAGGUAAAACUACUUCCAUCCCGUAAACUAACGAGAACGGAGUUGCCCCAGUAGAAGUUCUAACAGAUGUUCGAUAGGCCAAGAGUGCAAACGGUAGCUUUUCAUGCCAAUCCCUAUAAGUCCCAGUCAUCUUUCCCACUAUUUUCUUAAUGUUAGUAUUGGCAGCCUCCACUGCCCCAUUCAUCUUUGGACGAUAGGGUGAAGAGUUGUGAUGCUUGAUUUUGAACUGGUCGCAAACCUCUGCUAUUGUUUUGUUGUUCCAAUUUAAUGCAUUAUCAGAUAUGAUCCUCUCAGGCAUUCCAUACCAACAAAUGAUUUCCUUCUUCAAAAAUCGACUUACAGUUGACUUAGUAACAUUUGCGUAAGAAGCAGCCUCUACCCAUUUUGUAAACUAGUCAAUCACUACGAAAAUAAACCGAUGUCCAUUCGAAGCUUUCGGCGAUAUUGGUCCGAUGACAUCAUGCCCCACAUGGAAAAUCACCAUGGAGACGUCAUGACAUGUAAAGGUGAGGGUGGUACAUGAAUUUUGUCCCCAUAAAUCUGACACUUAUGGCAUUUUUUGGCAUAGUUGAUACAGUCUCCUUCCAUAAUGGCCCAGUAAUAGCCAAACCUCAUGAUUUGUCUUGCCAUCGUGAACCCAUUUGCAUGCGUACCACAUACACUUUCAUGAACCUCUUCUAGAACUAGCUUGGCUUCCAAAGCAUCGACACAUCUCAAAAGUACUUGGUCUUUCCUUGUCUUGUACAGAACAUCCCCGUCCAAAACAUAGUCACAAGCUAACCUUCUCAGGGUUCGUUUGUCAUUUUCGGAUGCCUGUGCUGGAUAUUUACGAUCUCUUACAUAUCGCAAUAUAUCCUGAUAACAAGGAUUGUCAUCCUUUUCUUCCUCUUCAAGGUUACAACAGCUAGCUGAAAAUUCAUAGACACUCAUUUGAAUUGGUCUCAUCUCUUCCUCUUUGUUUGCCUUAAUCAUUGAAGCCAAGGUUGCUAAAGCAUCUGCCAUUUGAUUCUCAUCUCGUGGGAGAUAGUUGAAGGUGAUGUCAUCGAACUCUCUUAGUAACCCCAAAACUACCAUUCGAUAAUUGAUCCAUUUAGGGUCUCUUGUCUCCCAUUCACCUCUUAGCUGAUAGAUUACCAACGCAGAAGCUCCAUAUACUUCUAGGGUCUUUAUGCCUCUUUCUAUGGCUGCUUGGAGCCCCAUGAUGCAUGCUUCGUAUUCAGCCAUAUUAUUUGUACAGUCAAAAUCCAACUUGCAUGUGAAUGGGUAAUGGUCGCCAUUCGGGGAUACCAAGACUGCCCCAAUUCUAUUUCCUACUGCAUUAGAAGCCCCAUCAAAAUUUAGCUUCCAUGGAAAAUCUUCAGUUGCUGCUAUACACAUUAACUUCUCAUUUGGAAAAUCAAAAUUCAAUGGCUCGUAAUCCUCCAAAGCUCUACUGGCCAAGAAGUCUGCCACCGCACUUCCUUUGAUAGCCUUCUGACUUACAUAGACUAUAUCGAACUCUAAAAGCAAAAUUUGUCAUCUCGCCAUUCUUCCAUUUAGAGCCGUUGAUUCCAUCAUGUAUUUUAAUGGAUCUAGUUUUGAGAUGAGCCAAGUAGUAUGGUAUAGCAUGUACUGUCUUAAUCUCCGUGUGGUCCAAAUCAACGCACAUCACAACUUUUCGAUUGGCGAAUAUCUCAUUUCACAGUCAGUGAAUUUCUUACUGAGAUAAUAAAUUACCUUUUCCCUUUUCCUUGACUCGUCAUGCUAACCAAGCACACAUCCCAUAGAAUUGCUGAACACUGACAAGUAUAGUAUUAACGAUUUCUCUGGACUAGGCGGAGAUAACACUGGAGCAUUCAACAAAUACUGCUUGACUUUCUCAAAAGCAUUCUGGCAUUCUUCAUCCCAAGUACCUUGAUUGUGCUUUCUGAGAAGACGAAAGAUAGGAUCACAUUUCAGAGUCAAUUGUGAAAUGAACCGAGCAAUGUAAUUCAACCUUCCUAGGAAUCCUCGAACCUCUUUUUGAGUACGUGGUGGAGGCAACUCCCGUAUGGCUCUGACCUUGUCUGAGUCAACUUCAAUUCCCUUUUCACUGACUACGAAGCCUAAUAACUUCCCCGAUCUGGCUCCAAAGGUGCACUUUGCUGGAUUGAGCUUCAACUGAAAUUUUCUCAACCUUAAGAACAAUCUUCUCAAGACCUCAAUGUGUUCUUUUUCUGUUCGCGACUCAAUGUGUUCUUUUUCUGUUCGCGACUUGGCAAUCAUAUCAUCAACGUAUACCUCAAUAUCCUUAUGCAUCAUGUCGUGAAACAAGUUUACCAUGGCUCGUUGGUAUGUUGCCUCUGCGUUCUUCAACCCAAACGACAUUACUUUAUAACAAAAGGUGCCCCACAAUGUUAUGAAAAUAGUUUUAUCCAUAUCCCCUGGAUGCAUCUUUAUCUAAUUUGUAUCCUGAGAAGCCGUCCAUGAAUGAGAACGAGUAUCCCGCUGUGUUGUCUACUAAAGUGUCGAUGUGUGGAAGAGAAAAAUUAUCAUUUGGGCUUGCUUUGUUUAGAUCUCUGUAAUCAACGCAUAUUCGUACCUUCCCGUCAUUCUUAGGGACAGGUACAAUAUUAGCUACCCAUUCAGAGUACUUCACUUCCUGCAAAAAUCCUGCAUCAAACUGCUUCUUGACCUCAUCUUUUAUUUUCAGGACAAUGUCUGGCCUCAUCCUUCGCAACGUCUGUUGGACCGGUUUACAUUCUUGUCUUAUCGGAAGAUGAUGUACUACAAUAUCGGUACUCAAUCCGGGCAUAUCCUGAUAAGAACAUGCAAAGAUAUCCUUGAAUUCCUGAAGCAACUCAAUUAAGCUACGCCUUGUGUCAUUAGCGAUCAGUGUUCCAAUUUUCACCUCCUUCCCUUCCUCUAGGGCUAUAUUCUCUAUUGCCUAUUUUUUAUGUGGCAUGAUUUGUUUCUCCUCCUAUUUUACCAUUCUUAAUAGAUCGAGAGAUACGUCACAAUCUUCAAAAUCCUGAGGCUCCUCUAAACACAUGUCUUGCUCACAAGAGAAAUCAGGAGCGGCAGUAUUAGCGCACAUAUCAUUGAUUUCUAAAGACUUGUGAGGGGUAUGAAAGAAUAUAAAAAGAAUGAAUGAAUUUAAGAAUGAUCGUUUAUGCGCUAUAAAUAAAAGAAUAAGAGUUGUUAGAAUUUAAAGGAAUAUUGGUUGAUAAAAAUGAAGCAAUACUCUUUUAAAUUGAUAAAAGUUAUGUUUUAUUUGAAUAAUAACAGAUGAACAUAAGCCUAUUUUCACAAAUAUAAUCUUACUACUCCUAGGCCCUAGAGUAAUAAAUAUGUUUCGAGAAUUACUCAGAAAAAUUUCUAAAGACUACAGGAAGAUCCUCCGCAGUCCAAUUGUUUAGAGAGCUCCCCGGUUCGUAAGGGCGAAUAACCUCAAAGUUUUCCUGUCCAAACCAAUCACUAUGUACAACAUUGAUUUGAUGACCCUCUUCUACCAGCAACCCUCCUGACUUAAAGGUUUUGGAUAUAGGUGGGAAUGUCAUCAGUACCCACUCUACUUCUCAUCCGUUCAAACGCGGCUUCCUUCUUGCUUGACGCUUUUCCAUCUCCUGUCUCUUUUGUUUAUGGUCUGGCUUAAAACCCAAACCAAAGCGAUCCUUCUUCUCUAUCAAUUUUGGGACUUGAAUCCCUCUUUGCAACUGGUCUUGCAUAUCCUUUUGCAACUGCUCAAACCUUUGAUCCAUGUUCUUAGUUUUAGUGCGAGUGCCGUAAGGAUGUGUGAUUUCUAGUUUUUCUUUUCUACCUUUAUAAAGAAACUUUAACUAAUUAGGGUCUUUCUAUAACCUUGAAUGCAUAUGAUAAGAUGUAAUGCAAAUGUAUGAAUGCAACAAAGGCAUCAAUCUCGAUUCAAUCUCAUUUAGAAAACUUUAUUUAGAAAAAGAAUAUCUUUACAUAUAAAUGGAUUACAAGUACGCUUUCGCCCUAAUGCCCAAAGUUUUAACUCUAUCUAAUAAAAGGGCUAACUUUCUUCCUAUGUCUGAUGACGACCCACACAUCAUACUCAAUACAUCGGCUCGUACUGCCAAGUCUUGUACAUAUUCAGCAACCUCUCGAAUCUGAGCUAUGGCUUCUCCCAUGACAUGAUCCCUUUCUUUAAUCUGCCCUCUAGACUAAUGAAGCUCUCCCUUUAGAUAAUCUCCUUGCGUCUCGAAUUGCUCAAUCUGAAGUUUACCUUCCUGCAAUGCUGCUUCCAAAUCUUCAACUUUACUCUUUAGCUCUUUUAACUCGACCGUAGAAUCAUGGUUGCGAUGCCAACGAAGGGAUCUUUCAAGCUCAGUUAUUUUAAACUUCAACCCUUUAUUCUCUUCUUCUAAUGCCAAAUUCCGCGGUUGCAUCUCCUGAAACUUCUUCUCCCAAUACUCAGCUCUAGCCUUUUCUUCUUAGACCUCUUUCUGCAACUGAUCUGAAGACCUUCUUAUUUUCGCUCUUCUCAAAGAUACCUGUGCCUUUUUGUAGUGUUCCUUCAAAUCAUCUCUAUCCUCUUCAAUUUUCCUCUUUUCCUUUCUUUCUUUCUCGACCUCCAUCUUCUGGACAUCGAUAUCUAAACUUAAGUACAUCUUUUCUUUUUCGAGCUUUGCUAUCCUUUUCUCAAGCUCCAAAUUUUUCCUCUCAAAUUCUUGCUUCAUAAUUUCUAACUCCGAGGGCAUCACUUGCAGAUAUUCCUCCAUCGGUCGAGUUCCUUCCAUACUUGGCUCAGGAAUAUUAUCAUUGAUCCUUCUACCUCUCCAUUCAACAUAUUUUGAAGUCGUAGCAGGGCCAAUAGCUACUCCUUUCAACCGACACGUCUUGUUCCAAGCGCUAAAGAUCUCACCGACCCUUUUUUUUGUAAUCGGCUCCUCUAUAUGCGAACUCACUUUGAGUUAGCCCAUGAGUUGCUGGCACGAACUGCCUCAAACCGAAUUGCCUUAACACGAGCAAGGGGGCAUAACCAAUGGCACCCCAAAUUCCCAAUAAAGGGACCCAAUCAAAACUGCCGCAACGGUAAAGAAUCUCACCAGGAAUCAUCCACGGAGCUCUCUACUCAACAUCUUUCGACUGAAGAUUUUGAAGUAGUGCAAUCCAAUUCUCCUCUAGAACAUCAACUCUCCUAAUUGAAGCUACUAUGUCCUUCAGCGGUGAGUAAUCCUCGAAGAAAACCCGACAAACGACCUUAUCUAUCAACCGAAAAUGACUAUAGAACCAAGCUAGAAGCAAUUGUGCACAGCCAACAAACCUGCCUGCACCAGCUUUCCAACAUGUGCCUAAGGACCUGAAUGUCUCUGCCAAAAUUGCAGGGACAGAGGUGACCCUCUUACUGAGUUUAUGGAAAAGAUCCGUGGUUGCCUCAUCCACAUAUCCCAAAGCUCUAGGAAACACCAUCAAUCCGUACAAACUUAAGGCAAAAACAUCUACCCUCUUUGCUUCAUCAGGGUGUGUCAAGAUCAGACCCUUCAAAGCAUCCCAUGAAAUGCACUUGCACUCGCCAUUCUCUUUAAUUCUGGCAGUAAUCCAUUGCUCACUCAUCCCUGUAAUAGUCAUCAAUUUCUUCCAAAAGGUAGGGACAUUAACAGCUCGAGAAUAGAUUCUAUCAACCUGGAACCUAAGACAACGUAACAAAGCAGUGUAUUCCUCUACGGUGGGCACCAAGUCUACCUCCCCAAAAGUAAAGCAACUGUACGCUGGAUUCCAAAACUGAGCGAGGGCUCGGAACAAGUGCUCAUCUAUUUGAACAUCGAGCAAGUAAGGUAAAUCUCCGUAAUUACCAUAGAAUAAUUGUUUAGUCUCGUUGCCCUAUUGAUCCCAAAUCUCCUUAAGCUCUUGGAGAUUAUUCUGCGUGACACUCAUGCGAGUAUAUCCUGACAGCUCCGACAUAUAUCCUGCAGCUAUACUAUCUCCCUUUUCUAAUUGAGUUUGCUCAGACCAUCUAUGGACGUUGGCGUUGCCCUCCACUCUAUUAAGAAGUCCGUUCUCCAUAAUAAAACUCUCUAACUUAGAAACUGACCGUGAAUCGAUACCUUUGUAAAUGCAAAAUGUCAUGCAAACAAAAGAAAAGAAAUAGUCAGUAUCCCAUGAUAUCAAUAAAUCUCAACAAUAGUUUAUAAGGGUAAUAUCUAAAGUUUAACUCUAACUAAGUUGGGCUCUUACGGUUUUUUCUAUAUGAGGUUGGUUCUAAAGUUUGAGGUACCUGAACCAGUAGAUUCCUCGAUCCUCAUUUGAAUCGAGUUCAGUUCAGGGGGAUAUAUUUCCCUAUGGCUACACAGAGAUGAAAAUCUCACGAAACCAUAGGUACGGAUGUAUCCCGAAAGUGAUCCACUAUCCUACACGGAGGCGAAAAUCUCACGAAGGCGUAGCUUCUCACUCCCACUUAAGGGUGUGACCACAACAGUCAUGCAAAUGCAAUGGGUAUUAGAAUAUAGCAACACAUGCAAUAAUGCAAACACAUGUAAUGCAAAGAGGAUUAAAUCUUAAAAUUUUUUAAAUUUUCGACAUUAAGACAAGAGAUAAUCAAUUACACGGCUUGACUCUCUUAAACGUCCCCAGUGGAGUCGCCAAGCUGUCGAAACCUUUUUUAAAUCGAGUUUUGGAAAAUGAGAAACGACUUUAAAAACGAAAACGGAAGUCGCCACCAAUCUUUUUAAGUGUGAUUGGAUCACAUAAUAACAAUAUUAGUUUAGGAGUAUGUAAGAGAUAUCAUAAUAUAACAAUAUUAGUUUAAAAUGAAAUAAUAUAUAGUAAAUAAAUAAAUAAUUAAUAAAAAUAUGUAUAUAGUGUGGGUUAAAAAAUAUGAUUUAAUAAUAAUAAUUUACAUUUUUUAAAAUAAUAUAUAUAAUGUAAUUAUAAAUAAUAUAAUUGACGAUACAUGAUAUACAUAACAUAUAUAUAAAAAAAAUAAAUAAAAAAAAUAUUAUAUAAUAAAAUGUAAUAUAAAUAUAUAAGAAAUAUAAUAGAUAUAAUAUAAAAUAACAUGUAAAACAAUAUAUAUAAAUAAUUAAUAAAUAUAUAAUAUAUGUGAAAAUAUAAUAAUAAUUUGAGGAAAAUAAUAUAUAAUAGUAAUAUAUAUAAAAAUAACACUUUUAAUAAUUUUAAUGUAUAAAAGUAAAAUUAAAAUAAAUCAAAUAUUAAUAUAAAAAUAUAUAGAAAUAAAAAAAUUAAGACUAAAUUUAAAGUUUUGUAAAAUUACGGGGCAAAUUUAAAAAGCUAAAACUGAAUUAAGGCCCGAUUUGAAACACCCGCAAAAUCAGAAGGGGUCACUGGGCAAAUAGCCCUAUUCCCAAAACGUCACCAUUUCCCCUAAUACGAUUCUAAAUCAUUGGGAGGGUCGAAUUGAAAUAGAAUUAAAAUAUUAAUACCAAAUUAAAAAAUAAAUAAAAUGAAAUUAAAAGUAUAAAAAUUGCGAGAUGACCAAAAUUAACCCAAUUCUCAAAAAUGCGCGGAUCCUCCCCGGGUAAUUGGAUCAACGCGCGGAUCCUAUAGUUGUAAAACGACACCGUUUUAAAUAGACUAUAUAAGUCAAACUUCGCCCCUAAAAAUCAUUUUAACAUCCGUUUUUAAGAAGAAAAAAAGAAAAAUCCUCUAGAAGAGGAUUCGGGGGCCGAUCCCGGAGCUGCUGAGCCUCCGUCCAGGGGUCUCCUCACGCGCUCACGCGCCGUCCUGUAAGGUGGUCUGAGGGUUAAAAUCCUCGUCCUUUCACAGGUAAUCUCUUCCCCUUUUUAAAAGUUACUAUUUUUUUUUUGCUAAAAAUGAUGUACAUACAUGCAUAUGUUCUAAAAUAAAAAAAACACACAGUUAAAUCACCUUUUCUUUGAAACUGCUUGUAUUCUUUUUUUAUUUCUGUAUCCGUAAUCGUUACAAGGGUUACAAAGGCUUUUUAUAGCCUACUGAUUUGUUACAUAAGGAAAGAAAUCUCUGAUUUCUUAUCUAUUGUAUCUUUGGCCAUUAUCUGCUAAGUUUCCUUUUCGUUUUGCAGGUACCCCGACAAUCUCUGCGUUAAUGGUGGUACCAAAACCAGAAGGGAGACCUGAGAUCACGGUGCUGGACAGCCGCAAGGGGGACGAACACAUUGAUGGUGCGUCAAUGCAUUGAUGGCCAUGAUCUGCGCAGUUGAAUCAACGCUCCCCGAAGUUUCCAGAAGCUGUUGCGGCGCUGUAGGGAGAGAGAGCUAGGAUUAGAAACCCUAGCUGAUGGUGUUAGGUUCUGGGCCUCUGAGAGCUCGGGUCAAUUGGGUCUAGUUUAGGUCUAGGUCUGUAACGAGUAUUGGAUUGUAACCGGGUUUAGGUUUAUUUAAUUUUUGGGCCUACGGGUUAGUGGGCCAUGGUAUUUGGGUCCUAUAAAGGUUUAAAUGGACUGUUUAAAUAAACACUCUAUUUAUUUUAAAGCCCGGUCAAAUUUGGGCUGUUACACCUCUGAAAUCCUUUUGUAUGGGAAAAAUCUUUUUCAAAACCAAAUCUCCCUCAUAAAACUCUUUUGGGUGAACCUUUCUGUCAUAAGCCCGCAUCAUUCUUUUUUGAUACAUCUAUCCAUGCUGAAUAGUCUUUAGCCUCUUUUUCUCAAUCAAAUUCAACUGAUCAUAUCGAGACUGUAUCCAUUCUGCUUCAUCUAACUUCAAUUCUCACAAAACUUGAAGAGAAGGUAUUUCCACUUCAAUGAGUGGGACUGCUUACAUUCCAUAAACCAAUGAGAAAGGUGUUGCACCAGUAGAAGUUCUAACAGAUGUUCGAUAAGCAUAGAGGGCAAAUGAAAACUUCUCAUGCCAAUCUCUGUAAGUUUCGGUCAUUUUCCCCACAAUCUUCUUGAUAUUUUUAUUAGCUGCCUCCACUGCCCCAUUCAUCUUUGGCCGAUAUGGUGAUGAAUUAUGAUAUCUGAUCUUAAGCUGACUGCAAACCUCUGCUAUUGUGCUAUUGUUCAAAUUUAACGCAUUAUCAGAUAUGAUCCUCUUAGGCAUUCCAUAUCGACAUAUAAUUUCCUUCUUUAAGAAUCUACUGACUGCCGAUUUAGUUACAUUGGCGUAUGAAGUAGCCUCCGCCCACUUGGUAAAAUAAUCAAUAACCACAAAAAUGAAAUAAUGCCCAUUUGAAGCCUUCGGUGAAAUUGGCUCUAUGACAUCCAUGCCCCACAUGAAAAAUAGCUAUGGGGAAGUCAUAACAUGCAAACUUAUCACCAUAAAUUUGACAUUUGUGACAUUUCUUGGCAUAAUUGAUGCAGUCUCCUUCCAUGGUUGACCAAUAAUAUCCAAACCUCAUAAUUUGUCUGGCUAUUGUCAACCCAUUGGCGUGUGUUCCACAAACACCCUUGUGCAGUUCUUCCAAGAUUUUCUUAGACUCCACAGCAUCCACACAUCUCAAAAGUACCCAAUCUUUCCUUCUUUUGUAUAAGAUCUCUCCAUCUAAAACAUAAUCGCAAGCGAGCCUUCUUAAUGUUCUUUUGUCAUUCUCUGUGGAUUGAUCUGGAUAUUCACGAUUUCUCACAUAUCACAAUAUAUCCUAAUACUAAGGAUGAUCAUCUCUUUCUUCUUCCUCUAUAUUAUAACAAUAAGAUGGGGCCUCAUAAAUACUCAUCCGAAUGGGCUUCACAUCUUCUUGUCUGCUUACUUUGAUCAUGGAAGCCAAAGUAGCUAAAGCAUCUGCCAUCUGGUUUUCAUCACGUGGGAGAUAAUUGAAAGUAAUAUCAUCAAACUCUUCAACUAACCCCAACAACAGCCUUUUAUAAUUGAUUAGUUUAGCAUCUCUUGUUUCCCAUUCGCCUCGAAAUUGGUAAAUUACUAGCUCAGAAUCUCCAUAUACUUCCAAUGCCUUGAUCUUGCGCUCUAUAGCUGCCUUGAGUCCCAUGAUACAUGCUUCAUAUUCUGCCAUAUUAUUCGUACAAUCAAAAAUCCAAUUUACAUGUGAAUGGAUAAUGAUCUCCAUCUGGGGAUACCAGAACUGCCUCAACUCCAUUACCCACAGCAUUUGAGGCUCCAUCAAAAUUCAAUUUCCAAAAGUAACCUUUUAUAGUGUCCUCUUCAGUAGCUGCCACAUACACUAUCUCCUUAUUGGGGAAGUCAAAAUUCAAUGGCUCAUAAUCUUCUAGAGCUCGGCUAGCCAGAAAAUCUGUUAUUGCGCUCCCCUUUACAGCUUUUUGACUCAUGUAAAUUAUGUCAAAUUCAGAAAGCAAAAUUUGCCACCUAAUCAUCCUUCCAUUCAAGGCAUUUGACUCCAUCAUAUACAUUAAAAGAUCCAACUUUGAAAUUAGCCAGGUUGUAUGAUAUAACAUAUAUUGCCUCAAUCUUCGUGCUGUCCAAACCAAAGCGCAACACAAUUUUUCAAUUGGCAAAUAUCUCAACUCAUACUCAGUGAAUUUCUUACUGAGGUAAUAUAUUGCCUUUUCUUUUCUUCCUAAUUCGUCAUGUUGACCAAGCACAUAUCCCAUUAAAUUACCAAACACAGUUAAACAGUUAAAAAUAGUUUAUUUUGUGUUUUUUUGUUUUUUUGGUUUUUGGUAUAAGCCUGGACAAAAAUUGGGCCUUACAAACUCUUUAACACAUUCGAACAACUUAAAAUAUAUCAUUCGAAUAUCAUAAAUCACAACUUUCAGAGACCAUAAAUUGUAGCAUUUAACACCUAAAUUUUCAGCAUUUAACACAUAAAAUGGUUUUCUCCUUA
Molecule: long non-coding RNA, 27292 nt
Filed under: Gossypium barbadense (sea-island cotton)
Lineage: Eukaryota; Viridiplantae; Streptophyta; Magnoliopsida; Malvales; Malvaceae
Description: long non-coding RNA (GBAR_LNC007942)
Source: RNAcentral